GACGAACGCUGGCGGCGUGCUUAACACAUGCAAGUCGAACGAAGAGCGAUGGAAGCUUGCUUCUAUCAAUCCUAGUGGCGAACGGGUGAGUAACGCGUAAUCAACCUGCCCUUCAGAGGGGGACAACAGUUGGAAACGACUGCUAAUACCGCAUACGAUCUGACCUCGGCAUCGAGGAUAGAUGAAAGGUGGCCUCUACAUGUAAGCUAUCACUGAAGGAGGGGAUUGCGUCUGAUUAGCUAGUUGGAGGGGUAACGGCCCACCAAGGCGAUGAUCAGUAGCCGGUCUGAGAGGAUGAACGGCCACAUUGGGACUGAGACACGGCCCAGACUCCUACGGGAGGCAGCAGUGGGGAAUCUUCCGCAAUGGACGAAAGUCUGACGGAGCAACGCCGCGUGAGUGAUGACGGCCUUCGGGUUGUAAAGCUCUGUUAAUCGGGACGAAAGGCCUUUUUGCGAAUAGUGAGAAGGAUUGACGGUACCGGAAUAGAAAGCCACGGCUAACUACGUG
Molecule: ribosomal RNA, 510 nt
Filed under: uncultured bacterium
Lineage: Bacteria
Description: partial 16S ribosomal RNA
Rfam family: Bacterial small subunit ribosomal RNA
Source: RNAcentral